AUUAUUACCCUAACAGAAACAUUGACUUUGGUUCUCAAUGCAGUAAGUGCUUUUUGUUGGGGUAGUUUUG
Non-coding RNA from Larimichthys crocea (large yellow croaker), 70 nucleotides. The record is from Rfam. Lineage: Eukaryota; Metazoa; Chordata; Actinopteri; Sciaenidae.